GAUGAACGCUGGCGGCGUGCCUAACACAUGCAAGUCGAGCGAUCUUCUUCGGAAGAGAGCGGCGGACGGGUGAGUAACGCGUGGGUAACCUGCCUCAUACACAUGGAUAACAUACCGAAAGGUAUGCUAAUACAAGAUGAUAUAAGAGAUUCGCAUGGAUUUCUUAUCAAAGCUCCGGCGGUAUGAGAUGGACCCGCGUCUGAUUAGCUAGUUGGUGAGGUAAAAGCUCACCAAGGCGACGAUCAGUAGCCGGCCUGAGAGGGUGAACGGCCACACUGGAACUGAGACACGGUCCAGACUCCUACGGGAGGCAGCAGUGGGGAAUAUUGCACAAUGGGCGAAAGCCUGAUGCAGCAACGCCGCGUGAGCGAAGAAGGCUUUCGGGUCGUAAAGCUCUGUCCUAAGGGAAGAAAAUGACGGUACCUUAGGAGGAAGCCCCGGCUAACUACGUGCCAGCAGCCGCGGUAAUACGUAGGGGGCAAGCGUUAUCCGGAAUCAUUGGGCGUAAAGGGUGCGUAGGCGGUCUUAUGGGUCAGAGGUGAAAUCCUACGGCUUAACCGUAGUUAGCCUUUGAAACUGUAGGACUUGAGUGCAGGAGAGGAGAGUGGAAUUCCUAGUGUAGCGGUGAAAUGCGUAGAUAUUAGGAGGAACACCAGUGGCGAAGGCGACUCUCUGGACUGCAACUGACGCUGAGGCACGAAAGCGUGGGUAGCGAACAGGAUUAGAUACCCUGGUAGUCCACGCCGUAAACGAUGAGUGCUAGGUGUUGGGGGUCAAACCUCGGUGCCGCAGUUAACGCAUUAAGCACUCCGCCUGGGGAGUACGUACGCAAGUAUGAAACUCAAAGGAAUUGACGGGGACCCGCACAAGCAGCGGAGCAUGUGGUUUAAUUCGAAGCAACGCGAAGAACCUUACCUGGACUUGACAUCCCUUUGCAAGAUCCGUAAUAGGAUACCUCUCUUCGGAGACAAAGGAGACAGGUGGUGCAUGGUUGUCGUCAGCUCGUGUCGUGAGAUGUUGGGUUAAGUCCCGCAACGAGCGCAACCCUCGUCAUUAGUUGCCAUCAGUUAGGCUGGGCACUCUAGUGAGACUGCCAAGGUAAACUUGGAGGAAGGUGGGGAGGACGUCAAAUCAUCAUGCCCCUUAUGUUCAGGGCUACACACGUGCUACAAUGGCCGAUACAACGGGCAGCCAAGGAGUAAUCCGGAGCAAAUCCUAAAAAAUCGGUCCCAGUUCGGAUUGUGGGCUGCAACUCGCCCACACGAAGUCGGAGUUGCUAGUAAUCGCGAAUCAGCAUGUCGCGGUGAAAAAGGGCCCGGGUCUUGUACACACCGCCCGUCA
This 1341-nucleotide ribosomal RNA is filed under the name uncultured bacterium. RNAcentral's name for it is "bacterial SSU rRNA". It matches the Rfam family "Bacterial small subunit ribosomal RNA", at positions 28 to 1399 of the family's 1533-position model. The record is from RNAcentral.